GAGUUUGAUCAUGGCUCAGAUUGAACGCUGGCGGCAUGCCUUACACAUGCAAGUCGAACGGCAGCGCGGGAGCAAUCCUGGCGGCGAGUGGCGAACGGGUGAGUAAUACAUCGGAACGUGCCCAAUCGUGGGGGAUAACGCAGCGAAAGCUGUGCUAAUACCGCAUACGAUCUACGGAUGAAAGCAGGGGCCGCAAGGCCUUGCGCGAAUGGAGCGGCCGAUGGCAGAUUAGGUAGUUGGUGGGGUAAAGGCUCACCAAGCCUUCGAUCUGUAGCUGGUCUGAGAGGACGACCAGCCACACUGGGACUGAGACACGGCCCAGACUCCUACGGGAGGCAGCAGUGGGGAAUUUUGGACAAUGGGCGCAAGCCUGAUCCAGCCAUGCCGCGUGCAGGAU
RNAcentral lists this ribosomal RNA (397 nucleotides) under uncultured beta proteobacterium. RNAcentral describes it as "bacterial SSU rRNA". It matches the Rfam family "Bacterial small subunit ribosomal RNA", at positions 9 to 409 of the family's 1533-position model. The record is from RNAcentral. Lineage: Bacteria; Pseudomonadati; Pseudomonadota; Betaproteobacteria.